This 422-nucleotide ribosomal RNA is filed under the name Blastocystis sp. RNAcentral's name for it is "SSU rRNA". It matches the Rfam family "Eukaryotic small subunit ribosomal RNA", at positions 501 to 933 of the family's 1831-position model. Lineage: Eukaryota; Bigyra; Opalinata; Blastocystidae. The record is from RNAcentral.
UCUUGCAAUUGGAUUGAGAACAAUGUACAACUCUUAUCGAUAAGCCAUUGGAGGGCAAGUCUGGUGCCAGCAGCCGCGGUAAUUCCAGCUCCAAUAGCGUAUAUUAACGUUGUUGCAGUUAAAAAGCUCGUAGUUGAAGUGUGGGUGAUCGCUAUUGUGAGACUUCGGUCUCUCAACGGAAAGUCACCCCCUUCCAGUAUCCAGUAGUGGGUAUUCAGUUACUUACUAUUGUGUGUUGGUCCUUUACUGUGAGAAAAUUAGAGUGUUCAAAGCAGGCGUUUGCUUGAAUAGAUUAGCAUGGAAUAAUAAUUGAAGGCUUUCGUGUUCGAUUUGAUUGGUUUGUUCAUGGAAGCAAGGUUAAAAGGAACAGUUGGGGGUAUUCAUAUUCACUAGUUAGAGGUGAAAUUCUCGGAUUUAUGGAA